GUGGAGAGAGCUAGAGAGAGACUGAAGAGAGGGAGCAUGGCGUUAGAAUAAAGCAGAGAAUCAGAGAAAUAAAACACUGUUUUCUCCGUUUCAUCUCUACUAGAAAUGCAGCUGUAGCAAUAAUCUCACUAUCUAUAUCCUCAUUCAUAUUUUAAGGUGCUACAAGUGAUAUCCAGCAAC
Long non-coding RNA from Sander lucioperca (pikeperch), 180 nucleotides. RefSeq lists it as uncharacterized. The record is from RefSeq and is a predicted model, not a curated record. The transcript is spliced from 2 exons. Lineage: Eukaryota; Metazoa; Chordata; Actinopteri; Perciformes; Percidae.